UGCUUAACACAUGCAAGUCGAACGGCAGCACGGUCUAGCUUGCUAGACUGGUGGCGAGUGGCGAACGGGUGAGUAACGCGUAGGAAUAUGCCUUGAAGUGGGGGACAACUUGGGGAAACUCAAGCUAAUACCGCAUAAUAUCUAAGGAUGAAAGCUGGGGACCUUCGGGCCUGGCGCUUUAAGAUUAGCCUGCGUACGAUUAGCUAGUUGGUGGGGUAAGGGCCUACCAAGGCGACGAUCGUUAGCUGGUCUGAGAGGAUGACCAGCCACACUGGAACUGAGACACGGUCCAGACUCCUACGGGAGGCAGCAGUGGGGAAUAUUGGACAAUGGGGGAAACCCUGAUCCAGCAAUGCCGCGUGUGUGAAGAAGGCCUGAGGGUUGUAAAGCACUUUCAGUGGGGAGGAGGAUUGAUAGGUUAAGAGCUAAUUAAUUGGACGUUACCCACAGAAGAAGCACCGGCUAACUCCGUGCCAGCAGCCGCGGUAAUACGGAGGGUGCGAGCGUUAAUCGGAAUUACUGGG
This 524-nucleotide ribosomal RNA is filed under the name Legionella waltersii. RNAcentral describes it as "bacterial SSU rRNA". It matches the Rfam family "Bacterial small subunit ribosomal RNA", at positions 45 to 558 of the family's 1533-position model. The record is from RNAcentral. Lineage: Bacteria; Pseudomonadati; Pseudomonadota; Gammaproteobacteria; Legionellales; Legionellaceae.